Molecule: long non-coding RNA, 896 nt
Filed under: Monodelphis domestica (gray short-tailed opossum)
Lineage: Eukaryota; Metazoa; Chordata; Mammalia; Didelphimorphia; Didelphidae
Description: lncRNA (ENSMODG00000038449.1)
Source: RNAcentral
AGCCAACCUAUUGCAAGCUCUCCAGAUCCUGGCCAGGCUGUUUAUACCCAUAUUUUCCCACAUGUUUCUCAGUGAUGUGCCAGAGCUUACUCAGAUGAUUGUUUAAUACCUUGGGAAUGGGCAAAUGCAUCAAAUCAGGGCUUGAUUUGUCAUUUUAUUGAUUGUCUGGACUUAAGAAAAUGAUGGAGAAAAAGUUAGCAAUACCGAUUUAACUUAAAAGUGUCCUUUGUGUACAUUUCUCUUUCAGAGAACCAGUCAUUAAAUAUUUGCCAGUUUAUCCCAGCACACUCUGCACAAUGGAUGGUCUUCACAAACAUGGGCCAAAUCAACUCUUAUGACAUUAAUCUACCAGCACUAAUUGCCACUUGAGUUUUACUUAAAUACAGUACUUUCUAUUCUCUGAUUCAGAGAUACUUGUCUUCAUGUCCUAACCUUCUCCUAGCUCAGCUGGGACAUUCAGUUAGGCUCAGGACCAGUGGAAGUUGAAAUCCUUGGAAGUUGAGCAUUCCCCCUGCCUUCACAGGUUUCUCUUCACUGAGUCUCUUCAAUUGGGAAGUGUUGUGGGGAAAGGAUUUCCAGUCACAAGCAGGAAAAAGUGGAUAACCCUCAGGAGAAAGUCUUAUUCACCCCUCCCUCUUCAACUUCUCCAAACUGAGAGACCAACUGCUCUUCCAGCCAGAAUCUUCUGGUUUCCCUCAAAAUUCCAGCCUCCUGGGGCCUCUCCCCCAUUGAGGUGAUCAGAUCCACACACUCUUCAGCCUGGCUCUUUUUCUUUAUUGCCAGCCUCUGUCACAGGACUAUCUCCUGGCCACCUACCUCUCCCCAAGGUCACAAUCCUGGAGUCUAAAGAAUUGCAUUGUUUCUUUUUGUCCAAUAAAUAUAAGGAUUAUCUUUCA